UUUUUUUUUUUUCCUUCUUAGUCGUGUGUACAUCAUUGGGAAUGGAGGGAAAUAAAUGACUGGAUGGUCGCUGCUUUUUAAGUUUCAAAUUGACAUUCCAGACAAGCGGUGCCUGAGCCCGUGCCUGUCUUCAGAUCUUCACAGCACAGUUCCUGGGAAGGUGGAGCCACCAGCCUCUCCCUGACAAGCAAAGUGGAUCAGCAAAGGCUGCAGUCACCAGCAUCUUUUCCAACCUUAAUGAACUGUAUCCUCAAAAGAACACUAUCAGACUGGCUCUGCCGACUUCCAGUUCUGGAACAAGAUGGUUAAACUCAUUUUUCCCUGCUCUGCUCCUCUAAAUACAACUAAGUACCUUGGAAACUAUUCAGCAGACAAUGAUAAAGGGCUCUGAAAGCUAGAAGAAAAGGUGUACUUGCAAGAAACCUCAGGACUUGAGUAACAGCAACAUGGCAGGCCAGAAAGCAGACCCAGGGAGGAUAGCACAUGUCUUCGGCUACACUGGUGAAGGCAUCGUGCCUGCUCCACAGCACAUUUUUAUUCAAGCUCACCAAGCUCCUGUAUCUACUGGAAAAUGGAAGUCCAGCCUUACCAACUUGUGAACCUUGUCUGAAGGGAGCCAGGGCCUGCCAAUGGAACCACCUCCAGGAGCUGCAACUGCUGUUGUCAUUAAUACCAUUGUGUCUAUUUUUUGAGAGAGAUAAACUUUUCAUGGUGUUACAUUUUGGAAAAAAAAAAAAAAGACUAGGUGAACAGUCAGGUAGGAAAGCAGCAUAACAGUCCCUUAAAUUCUGAUCAUGUAGGACAUUCUUCUUUGCCCUGGGCCUGGGAAAAUGCAGCAUGUUCCAGAGCAAAAGUCCUAAUGAGGGGAACUAAACCAGUGGGACCCAAACCAAUGUCCUGGCUCACUGAGGACCCGUUAGAACCAAAUCUCUGGGUGUGGACAGGCUCCCAUACUUUUCAAAAAUUCCCCUGAUGACUAAUGAACAACCAGAGGUAAGAACCAGUGGCCCAGAGGAAUAACCAGCCCAGCUGUUGUACGAGCUCGCUAAGCUGGCUCAGGUCAAUGUUGAAUUCUCUGCUAGGCAGCUCCUCAUAAGAACUGGCAGAGAUGGUUCUUACACAACAACAGGUGACAACUCCAGACUCUGCCGGAAGUUCCAGGAUCUGGGUUCCCGGACAAUGCAUGACACUCAGUCCAGCAUUGCAGGUGGAAGAGCGACGGUGAAAAGACCAAAGUCAAUUAAAAUGUGUUAACCAAAACAGGAAACAUGAGUGAGGUGAUUGAGAGUGUGUUUAACUUAGAUGUGUGAUUUUAUCAAUACUUUCAUUGUUCAAAAACUCUUAUUUUUUAAAGAUAUUUUCAAAACAAAUCCAAACUUUACUUUUCAUUCCAAAUUCGUGUUCCGUCUAUACUUGCAUUUGGGGAAAGAUUGAAACAAAACACAAAUACUUUGUAGCAAUGUUGGAGUGUCAUGUUCUUUGCAGAGGGACAGGAAAAAAAAAGGAUUUUUUUUUCUUAUCAAGAGAUACUGUUUCCUCAAGGAGAAAGGGCAUCAGUCCAAGGCACUGGUUUGCUCAAAAAGAUUAGUAAAGAACAAGCAUAUUUUGUCUGUGGUGACAACAUGAUCUCCCCCCCCCCACUAGUAAACUCACAGCAUCAGUACGCAGGCAGUGUGAUGCAUUUUCAAAGUUCCUCACUUUUCCAGAUCCAACAGGACUCUUGUGCACAUACUCGGUGUUUCCAUGGCAAAUCCACUGUGUAUGAAAAUUAGACCCUUCCAAAAAACAAAUUUACUAGUCAGUAACCAUCAUCAGCACUUUUUUUCUGUACCAUGAAAUUUGGGAACAAAAUUAAAGGGCUCUUGAUUGAAA
This 1872-nucleotide long non-coding RNA is filed under the name Homo sapiens (human). RNAcentral's name for it is "MIR4435-2 host gene". The record is from RNAcentral. Lineage: Eukaryota; Metazoa; Chordata; Mammalia; Primates; Hominidae.